Passer domesticus (house sparrow) is the source of this 1313-nucleotide long non-coding RNA. RefSeq lists it as uncharacterized. The record is from RefSeq and is a predicted model, not a curated record. The transcript has 2 exons. Lineage: Eukaryota; Metazoa; Chordata; Aves; Passeriformes; Passeridae.
AAACCUGGAAAGAUACUCCACUAGCUGAGAAGUGGAAAGAACCUUAUCAGGUACUGCUAACCACACAAAGAGCCAUGCAAUUGAAAUGACUGGAGUCAUGAAUUCAUUACACAGACCAAAGGUAUUCCUCCAACUUUGUGGUGGUCUUAACAGAAAGACCCCCAAAGCUGAAACUGACUUGGGACUCAUGAACUGCACAUGGACAAAAAGAAUCUGUACUGCAAUUUUACUGUAUUCGGGGAGAAAUUUUACUAUAUUUUUGCGUUUUACUAAGUGUAAAAAGUUUUUACAGGCAAUGUGCUUGAUUUUUGGAACAUCACUGAGCACCCUGGCCUGGGUGCACAACUCUGAAAUAACAAUCAAUCUCUUUUGAGUGUGUAAUUAUUGUCUUUAGCACACUGGAUAAUAAAUCCAAUUUUUCUGAACACCAAUAUGUCCUAUUUUAAACAAAUAGUUUAUAUCAUCUUGGAAUUUUACAUGGUACUCACAAAGUGAGGCAGGUAAUUGCUCAGAGGAAUUGAAUGUAAAUAUUAUCAUUUGUGAUAAAAAAUGAAGUUAUGAAUACUAGUGCAUGAAUCAAAGCCUGCCUAGCUGACAGCUUACAAGAUACAUCUGGCCUCCAGGACAAUAUUCCACUAUUCUAUAAAAUUUUACAUCUCAUCUGACAACUGGCUUUAGUGUAAAUAGGACUGAUGUCAUCCCCUCACAAUUGCCAAGAACUUGUAAAGUCUUGCAUUAGAUUUACAAUUUGUUUAUUCUUACCAAUUACAGAGUCCAAGGCAUACUUCUGGCCCUAUAAAUGCCUGUAUAAUACUCAAGCAGAGGACAUGAAAGUAAGCAAAGUAAAGUGCUGGAUAUAAAACUCCAUGACUUGGAGAAAUAAAAAAAAUAUGCAUGCACAGCACUUUGAGGAAGCAAGUGUAGUAUAGCCAGGACGCCCCAUGCUAACUUUAAUUGUACUACAGCAAAUUAAUAUCAGUACAGGGACACACCACAAAAUACCAAGCACAGCCAAAUGCAGGAUUCUUGGGGGGUUUAUAGUCUCAUUUUUAGCUCUAGCUCAGCUGAAGCUGUGUCCCAUGUUUACUUGUGCUGUUUUGUGUUAUUUUCCAGCUUAACAUCACUGUGUAGGCAUACCUGAAGUCACACAACCAUGUGCAGUGAACAUAACUGAACGUGCUUCAAUGUGCUUGUGUGUUUUAUCCUAAAAGGCUGAUUGACACAAGUGAAGUGUCAGUAAAGUCAGUAAUGACAACAGGAACAACUGACUAAGAACAUAAGUAAAUCUUGCAGGAUAAAAAUAUUAAAUUAGA